UACGUAGGUGGCAAGCGUUGUCCGGAUUUACUGGGCGUAAAGAGCGCGCAGGCGGUCGUUCAAGUCGCGUGUGAAAGCCCCCGGCUCAACUGGGGAGGGUCACGCGAUACUGAUUGACUCGAAGGCAGGAGAGGGUAGUGGAAUUCCCGGUGUAGUGGUGAAAUGCGUAGAUAUCGGGAGGAACACCAGUGGCGAAGGCGACUACCUGGCCUGUUUCUUGACGCUGAGGCGCGAAAGCUAGGGGAGCAAACGGG
RNAcentral lists this ribosomal RNA (254 nucleotides) under uncultured bacterium. Its description in RNAcentral is "partial 16S ribosomal RNA". It matches the Rfam family "Bacterial small subunit ribosomal RNA", at positions 524 to 776 of the family's 1533-position model. The record is from RNAcentral.